UUCCGGUUGAUCCUGCCGGACCCUACUGCUAUCGGGGUGGGACUAAGACAUGCAAGUUGUCAUGGUAAGACGCGGCAUACGGCUCAGUAACACGUGGCUAACCUACCCUUAGGACGGGGACAACCCCGGGAAACUGGGGCUAAUACCCGAUAGGUGAGGAGGCCUGGAAUGGUUCCUAGUCGAAAUGCUUUGUCGCCUAAGGAUGGGGCCGCGCCCGAUCAGGUUGUUGGUGGGGUAACGGCUCACCAAGCCUAUAACCGGUACGGGCCGUGAGAGCGGGAGCCCGGAGAUGGGCACUGAGACAAGGGCCCAGGCCCUACGGGGCGCAGCAGUCGCGAAAACUCCGCAAUGCGCGAAAGCGUGACGGGGCUACCCCGAGUGCCGUCCGCUGAGGAUGGCUUUUCCCCGGUGUAAUGAGCCGGGGGAAUAAGGAGAGGGCAAGUCUGGUGUCAGCCGCCGCGGUAAUACCAGCUCUCCGAGUGGUAGGGAUGAUUAUUGGGCUUAAAGCGUCCGUAGCCGGCUUAGCAAGUCUCCUGUUAAAUUCAGCGACCUAAUCGUUGAGUCGCGGGAGACACUACUAGGCUAGGAGGCGGGAGAGGCCGACGGUAUUCUCGGGGUAGGGGUGAAAUCCUAUAAUCCCGGGAGGACCACCAGUGGCGAAGGCUGUCGGCUAGCACGCGCUCGACGGUGAGGGACGAAAGCUGGGGGAGCGAACCGGAUUAGAUACCCGGGUAGUCCCAGCUGUAAACGAUGCGGGCUAGGUGUUGGGGUGGCUACGAGCCACUUCAGUGCCGCAGGGAAGCCGUUAAGCCCGCCGCCUGGGGAGUACGGCCGCAAGGCUGAAACUUAAAGGAAUUGGCGGGGGAGCACCACAAGGCGUGAAGCUUGCGGUUCAAUUGGAUUCAACGCCGGA
Molecule: ribosomal RNA, 913 nt
Filed under: uncultured archaeon
Lineage: Archaea
Description: bacterial SSU rRNA
Rfam family: Archaeal small subunit ribosomal RNA
Source: RNAcentral